This 206-nucleotide long non-coding RNA is filed under the name Anser brachyrhynchus (Pink-footed goose). RNAcentral describes it as "lncRNA (ENSABRG00000022983.1)". Lineage: Eukaryota; Metazoa; Chordata; Aves; Anseriformes; Anatidae. The record is from RNAcentral.
AGCUUAUGACUUCACAAUGCCAAGUGCUGAAUUGGAUUCAUACCUUUAGUGGAUAAGGAAGAUGGUCAAAAAGGAGAGAAGGGCUGCAGUUGCAUUUCCAUUUCAGCUACCUGGGAGUCACAACAAAGUUUCAUAGUGGACUAAUAACCUCAGCCUAUUAUUUAUCAGAUCCUUACUCAUCUGGUAACUCCUCCGAGAGGAAGUAG